This is an RNA transcript of Athalia rosae (coleseed sawfly), 3998 nucleotides long. It is a transcript of the gene named peroxisome biogenesis factor 1, with no coding region annotated. The record is from RefSeq and is a predicted model, not a curated record. The transcript has 16 exons. NCBI's taxonomy places the organism in Eukaryota, Metazoa, Arthropoda, Insecta, Hymenoptera, Athaliidae.
CACUUAAGAGUGUAUACCUUUGCAAUUAUAUUUAAUCUCCAUGACAAUGCAGGCUGAAAGAUUUACGGUUAAAUACGUGACCGUACAGAAUUGUUUUAUUUAUCUACCUGAUGCAUGGCAUAGAAGGUUAACCACAAAGUCUGGUAUUGCUAAGGUGACGCAUGAACAUCGAGAUUUUUAUUUCUCAUGGCAUUCUCGGCACAGUGCAGAUGGUUUUCUGAACCUUAGCGCAACAUUUGCAAGGGCCUUGGGCUUCCAGGAAGGAGACGAUAUUCUUGUCUCAUGUGAACUUCAACCUGCCUCCGUUGCCAAUGUUGUUGUUGUUCCCAGAAGCUCUCAAGACUGGGAGAUCGUGGAAUUACAGAGCACCAAAAUACAGGAGUCGUUAUUGAGCCAGAUCAAUAUUGUAGCUGUGAAUCAAGAAAUUGUUGUUUGGGUAUCAAGGUCUUUGUCCAUCGUUUUGAGCGUUGAGUCUCUGGAGCCUAGUUACAAAUAUGGAAGGCUCGAGCAGUUCACAGAGAUAUCAGUUUCGCUACCUAAAAACAAAAAAGAAGGUAAAAGAAACUUUGAAUCGAAAAAUAGUGGGGAAAAAUCUAAGAACAAAGUUUGGGAUUUUUUAAAAAAUCUUGUGCCUGAGCAGCUCUCUGGAUCUCAAAACUUGGAAGCAGAAAAAGUCGAAGAAUCUGUUGAGGAAAUACUGCAGAGAACUUCAAAAAAAUAUUUUGUGCAGACAUUCCGAGUUUUGCCUUUACAAGAAUAUGAAAAUGCUGAUGAGAUGAGCACCGCAGAUUCGCUACUUAGACAACCAUAUAACAUCUUCAUUCAUAGAUGUUUCUUGCCUAGCAAUUUCUCAGUAACUUCAUCAUCUAAGGAAAUAUAUUGCCGAGUGAAGAAGGUCAAACAAAACGUACAAUUCGUUAAAGUAACUAACUCUAAUUUUUUGAGAGAUGAAAACGCAUCCGAGUUCAUUUUAGCUACAGAAAUAGUAGCUAGGUUGUUUGUUCUUGAAGAUCUCUUGAGAAACUGCUCAAAUAAUAUCAAUAAAGAAUACUUUGUUGAUAAUUCUGUCCAUCAAAGUAUCUAUGUAUCGAAGAAUUUGAGGCAUAAUUUGAAAUUGAAAAUUGGAGCUAAAGUAACAUUAGAGCUCAUAAAAUAUUCAGAAGGACCUAUUACCGCGUUGAAAAUUAUCCCUUUGAAAAACUUGGUAUCACAACAGGAUGUAGAGAAAUAUUUUGAAGAACGUUCCAAAUAUAACAAGCUGCUACUUAAUUCAUCGACUGAGCUCAUUCUGUCAAACGAAAAGUCUUGCAGAGUACAAAUACUUCCACUACAAACUCUAUAUGCUCUAAUAGACACCUAUGACUUGAGGAACAUUAUGUUUCACAUAAAUGAUGUUGUACCAAGUUCAGAAAAUCAAAUGGAAAACCUAGAACAACCUGAAGGCAUUACUUCUCUCAAUGUAUCGAUGUGCGGCCUGAAAUCUAUUUUAUCAGACUGCCAGUGUGUCUUAAAAUUGAGCCUGGGAAUAGAUAGGACUUCGGACUCUGAGUAUGACCGGGAGAAUAUAUUGAUAUGUGGUAAAGUAGGAAGCGGAAAGACGACCAUAUGCCAAAUUUUGAGAGAGGCUUUUUCAGAACAUCCAAACUUUGUUUACGUGCAAAUGAUUGAUGCCAAAGCAUUGAAAGGCAAAAAAGUUGAGAUACUACAUAAAACGUUCCUGUCAGCUAUCGUAGAAUGCACCUACUAUCAACCUUCUAUUUUAUUCAUUGACAACUUGGAAAGUAUAGCAGGUAGAGCGUUAGAUGACGAAGAAAAUACUCCAAAUUCAAUUAACACUGCUAGGACGGCUGAUAUGUUGAUAAAAGUCAUAACGGAGUGCCAAAUGGCUCAUUAUGUAUCAGUUGUAGCAACAUGCAAAAACACCAACAAAUUAAAUCGAAAAAUAGUUGCUCCUCGUGGUAUUCACUUCUUUAGGACUAUCCUCUCACUACCUGAGCUUGAAAAGGAGGAUAGAGUGGAUAUUUUAAAACUAGCUUUGAACAAAAAAUUGAAAGUAUCUAACGGUAUUAAUUGGGAUCAUUAUGGCAACAAAACAGAAGGGUGGAUGGCACAGGACUUGAUAAACUUUGCAGAUAAGGCUGCUUUUACGGCAUGGAAACGACAUGUUCAGAGUGGUUCGAAAGUUCCUCUAAUACUCUAUGACGAAGACCUAUCCAAAGGUUUAGAGUCUUCCAUGCCAAUCUCUCUGCAAGGCAUCAACUUGUACUCGGGACCGGGUCACGCAUGGUCAGAUAUAGGGGGAUUGGCAGAAGUGAAGCAAUCACUGAUUGAACUUCUUCAUUGGCCUUUGAAGUAUCAAGAGCUAUUCAAGAACGCACCAAUAAAACAUCAAGGUGGAGUGUUACUGUAUGGAGCACCUGGAACUGGAAAAACUAUGCUUGCUGGGGCUAUCGCCAGGGAAUGUGGGUUAAAUUUUAUCAGCGUCAAGGGCCCGGAGUUGCUUUCGAAAUAUAUCGGAGCUAGUGAAGAGGCGGUGCGCAACGUAUUCGAAAAAGCAAACAGUGCCAAACCCUGUGUAUUAUUCUUUGAUGAGUUUGACAGUCUUGCGCCAAGGCGUGGUCAUGACAGCACUGGCGUAACUGAUCGUGUCGUAAAUCAAUUUCUGGCUCAAUUGGACGGUGUCGAAGGCAGGGAAGGGGUGGCUGUUGUCGCUGCCUCCUCACGACCGGACCUAUUGGACCCAGCGCUUCUUCGUCCAGGUCGUCUGGACAAAUCCUUGUUCUGUCCGUUACCUAAUGAGGAUGAAAGAGAAGAAAUACUAACAGCAUUGUGCAGGUCACAGAAGCUAGAUACCAGCUCUCUUGAUUUCAAAACCUUGGCAGCCCAAACAGAUGGAUUUUCAGGAGCUGAUUUGAAUGCUAUUAUUUCUCAAGGCAAGAUCUGCGCUCUUGAAGAAAAUUUGGCUGAACUAAAAUUGCAAAAUGUGCGUGAGGGGAUGAGGGGAUACUAAUGCGAAUGCGAUGGUGACAUUAGCAAGGCUCGUCUAAUUAACACAGUUUCUAAUCAUUGCUUCGAACAAGCCACUCUGUGUGCCGUGAACUAUCUGAUUCCGUAUUUACCAUCCUCCACCCCUUUCCGUCUUACGAUAUAAUAUCGCUGCUCUGCAAAUUGGAGGAGUCGCGAUGUUCGUAAUACGUGUACCUGUAUAUGUAGUAAACGCGUUGCAAUGUGUCUCUACUUGUAAACCUAUAACUUGGCAAUAAUACUGUUGAUUUACUUGUUCUUGUAUGAUCUAAUUAUUAAAGUUUCUCCUCCAAAUCGCGCAUAAGGCUACAGUCAAUAUAAUGUAAUAUUCAAUUUCAAACUCAAUUGCUUAUAAUGCAAUUGCAUAUGUAAGCGACUUUUUUUUCAAAUGCAAAUAGAUUUUUGCAUUGCAUCGUCUACUGCAGAUUAAACCAAAAAUGUUGAGAAUAAACAAAAAGUAUGCAUGAAAUUUUUUUUCAUAAGACGCUUCUCUCCUCGUCUACAUCUCGCUGCAUAAAAUAACGCUCGACACGUAAUCGGGAAUUCGUCAUAUACGUCAUAUACAUGUGCAACACACAUUUGCACUCUUGGAGCAUGCGGAGGACUACUUUCUAGUAGUUCUUACUACAACCGCUACGUUGCGCUUGGGAUUGACUGUCGACGAAAUUUUCUCACAGCCAAAGACCCAUAAGUAGAAUUUAAGUACUCUCGAGCAACGAACCAAAGCAUACUUACCUGGCGCAGAGGACACCGUGAUCACAAAGGCGGUUCCUCCAAGACGAGGCUCUUCCAUUGCACUACGGUCGAGCUGAACCUUGCGAAUACCCCUAAUAAAGGUGAGAAGAACUCUGGAGUGAUGAAUGCAAACGUAACUCAAAGGCAUUUAAUCGAAGCAUUGGCUUGCACGGGACCUUCUUUGAGUGCUAGUGAAAAGUUCAAAUACGACAAAAUCUACGCGAAGUUUUCAAGGGCCG